ACAACCAGAGGGACAAACCAAGUGGCUCGGAGGAGGAGGCACACACUCUCCUCGAACAUGUAAUCAUGGAUACAGCCAUCAAGCGAGCGAUGAACAUUAAGGAACUCGAACGGGUUCUUGCACUGGGGACAAGAAGUUUUCUGACUGUAUGUUGCCCAUCUCAGGAUGCAUGUCACACAGUAAGCAUGCUCGCAACCCUUAACAAGAGCCGUCUCCUGGAUGAGGAUCCUAUUCAAACAUAUCGCGCAGAUCCCGCCGCUCUCCGCCGGUCCCUCUGAUUCCCCACACCCGUCACCGUCGGCGCAGCCGCUGCUCUCGACAUCAAGCACCACCUGCGAA
RNAcentral lists this unclassified non-coding RNA (339 nucleotides) under Hevea brasiliensis (rubber tree). Lineage: Eukaryota; Viridiplantae; Streptophyta; Magnoliopsida; Malpighiales; Euphorbiaceae. The record is from RNAcentral.